CCUAGACAUAGCAAAUGGAUGAACUCAGUCUCAAGACUCUCGACUCUGGUUGUCGCUGUUUGUCUCCCAUUCUCUCUCGACCUAUCCGUGGCUGUCACUCCCAGCCUCCUGCUACCUUGCAUUCCUUUCCGUUGGCCGUCGCUCCCGCUGAAGCCUGUCGUGUGGCCUUGGCCCAUGUCUGUCUCUUACUCAAUCACUCUCUCUCGAGUCUCGGCAGUCGGCCCUAUGGGCUGUGACUGUCGGUGACUAGCUCCGGCUGCUGCUCUUGGAAGAGAUAAGUUGGGGGUUGCUGCCGUGAAUCUAGUUGCAGGAGAAAAGCCUGCAGAUGUGUACUCAGGAAUAGCUUCUAAAUAAGGCCAAUUUCCAUUCCAUAAGAGAUAUUGAGCGAGCUCUCUUUAGUAGAUUUCUAGAUAUAAUGCGGAGCGAUGCACAAAAAGAUCCUGCAAUUUUCCCAGAUGCAGAACAUGCAAAGGUGUUAGUGAAUCAGAUCAUUUUUCACCCUCUUAUGGAUUAGCUGGGGAAGAUUAAUAUCAGCCCCGUCAAAUUUGGAUAACUUUUAAGUUUAUGAGCUGAUUGAUUUGAAAUUUGUAAUUCCCAGCAUGAGGAAAUUCGAGUUAAUAGUUUUUGGACUAUUUUUCAGGUAGAUAGGAAACCAGGUCCUCGACGAGCAUGACAGACCAUAGACCAGCUUUGAUAUAUUCUCACUUCUUAGUCACUUGCUUUCCUUAUCUGCUCCUUUGAUGGUGGCAUUUAACUCUAAUAUUCAUGUUCAUGUAUUUCGACAAGUACUCUAAUAUACAUGUCUUGGACUUUUGAAUUGGGAAAUGUUAGCACAAGCAGAGUCGAUUCUAGGUACUCUAGGUAUUGGAAAAAUAAAAUAUUUACAGGUUCCACCGAGUACUCGGAAUCUGUGGUAUACCACAGGUUCCAAGUAAGUUUUGGUUUCAGAAUAGGGUUCGGUUUCAAAAUAUUGGAACCUAUCCCUUACAGGGUAGGGUCCGGGUAUCGUGAAAAAAAAGGAUACCCAGAACUGAUUACCGCUAGCUAGUAUUAUAUAUAUGAACACUUAGUUGUUUAAAAAUAUAUUUUUUAUUUAAUUGUA
Non-coding RNA from Punica granatum (pomegranate), 1102 nucleotides. The record is from RefSeq and is a predicted model, not a curated record. NCBI's taxonomy places the organism in Eukaryota, Viridiplantae, Streptophyta, Magnoliopsida, Myrtales, Lythraceae.